Molecule: ribosomal RNA, 497 nt
Filed under: uncultured bacterium
Lineage: Bacteria
Description: partial 16S ribosomal RNA
Rfam family: Bacterial small subunit ribosomal RNA
Source: RNAcentral
GAUGAACGCUGGCGGCGUGCCUAAUACAUGCAAGUCGAGCGAACGGACGAGAAGCUUGCUUCUCUGAUGUUAGCGGCGGACGGGUGAGUAACACGUGGAUAACCUACCUAUAAGACUGGGAUAAAUUCGGGAAACCGGAGCUAAUACCGGAUAAUAUUUUGAACCGCAUGGUUCAAAAGUGAAAGACGGUCUUGCUGUCACUUAUAGAUGGAUCCGCGCUGCAUUAGUUAGUUGGUAAGGUAACGGCUUACCAAGGCAACGAUGCAUAGCCGACCUGAGAGGGUGAUCGGCCACACUGGAACUGAGACACGGUCCAGACUCCUACGGGAGGCAGCAGUAGGGAAUCUUCCGCAAUGGGCGAAAGCCUGACGGAGCAACGCCGCGUGAGUGAUGAAGGUCUUCGGAUCGUAAAACUCUGUUAUUAGGGAAGAACAUAUGUGUAAGUAACUGUGCACAUCUUGACGGUACCUAAUCAGAAAGCCACGGCUAACUACGUG